This 303-nucleotide unclassified non-coding RNA is filed under the name fungal sp. RNAcentral's name for it is "partial internal transcribed spacer region". The stretch from base 1 to 46 matches the Rfam family "Eukaryotic small subunit ribosomal RNA", at positions 1786 to 1831 of the family's 1831-position model. The record is from RNAcentral. Lineage: Eukaryota; Fungi.
AAGUCGUAACAAGGUUUCCGUAGGUGAACCUGCGGAAGGAUCAUUACAAUACUAUAUAAUGGUUUUUUUCGAAAAACCAUUAUUCUGUGAUUCCGUAUACGUUCACUUUGGCAGGCUUUGGGUUGUCGUAUAGCUAGCCCAACUUUCAAAUAUAUCUCUUUUUCGAGGUAGUGUGAAAGCCGGCCUGCCAGAGGUUUUUUAAAAAUCGCUUGUUUAAAUUAUCGUCUGAAAAAUUCUCUCAUUCUUGAGAGAAAUAAAUACAAAUUUAAAAUACAACUUUCAACAACGGAUCUCUUGGCUCUC